RNAcentral lists this ribosomal RNA (467 nucleotides) under uncultured soil bacterium. RNAcentral describes it as "bacterial SSU rRNA". It matches the Rfam family "Bacterial small subunit ribosomal RNA", at positions 26 to 501 of the family's 1533-position model. The record is from RNAcentral.
AGGACGAACGCUGGCGGCGUGCCUAACACAUGCAAGUCGAACGAGGUUGAUCUGGUGGCAACACCAGUGACUACCUAGUGGCGAACGGGUGAGUAACACGUGAGGAACCUGCCCCGAAGACCGGGAUAACUCUCCGAAAGGAGUGCUAAUACCGGAUACCCCCACCUAAUCGCAUGAUCUGGUGAGGAAAUGGAUUCCGCUUCGGGAGGGCCUCGCGGCCUAUCAGCUAGUUGGUGGGUAACGGCCACCAAGGCAUCGACGGGUAGCUGGUCUGAGAGGACGAUCAGCCACACUGGGACUGAGACACGGCCCAGACUCCUACGGGAGCAGCAGUGGGAAUCUUGCGCAAGUGGGACGAAAGCCUGACGCAGCAACGCCGCGGUGGGGAGUGGAAGGCUCGUCGGUUCGUAAACCCCUUCGAGCGAGGACGAAUCAAGACGUACUGACAGAAGAACGCCCCGACUAAC